AGAGUUUGAUCCUGGCUCAGGAUGAACGCUGGCGGCGUGCUUAACACAUGCAAGUCGAACGGUGAAGCCUGCUAUUUAUAGUGGGUGGAUCAGUGGCGGACUGGUGAGUAACACGUAGGUAACCUACCCUCGAGGCGGGGAUAACGGCUGGAAACGGUCGCUAAUACCCGAUAGGCUCUGGGACCUGGGAUGGUUCGAGAGGAAAGCGCUCCUUCGGGAGAGGCGCUCGAGGAGGGGCCUGCGGCCCAUCAGGUAGUUGGUGUGGUAACGGCACACCAAGCCGAUGACGGGUAGGGGGUGUGAGAGCAUGACCCCCCACAAUGGGACUGCGACACGGCCCAUACUCCUACGGGAGGCAGCAGCAGGGAAUCUUGCGCAAUGGACGAAAGUCAGACGCAGCGACGCCGCGUGGGUGAGGAAGGUCUUCGGAUUGUAAAGCCCUUUUCUGGGGGACGAGGAAGGACGGUACCCCAGGAAUAAGCGUCGGCUAACUACGUGCCAGCAGCCGCGGUAAGACGUAGGACGCGAGCGUUAUCCGGAUUUACUGGGCGUAAAGCGCCUGUAGGCGGUCGGGUAAGUCGGUUGUGAAAGCCCGUGCUCAACGCGGGGAAAGCCAGCGAUACUGCCGGACUUGANGGUGGCAGAAGGGAGUGGAAUUUCCGGUGUAGCGGUAAAAUGCGCAGAUAUCGGGAGGAACACCAGUGGCGAAGGCGGCUCCUUGGGGCACACCUGACGCUGAGAGGCGAAAGCCUAGGGGAGCGAACAGGAUUAGAGACCCUGGUAGUCCUAGCCCUAUACGCUGGAUGCUAGGUGUGGGGGCGAGAAGGUCCGUGCCGCAGCUAACGCGCUAAGCAUCCCGCCUGGGAACUACGGCCGCAAGGCUAAAACUCAAACGAAUUGACGGGGACCCGCACAAGCAGCGGAGCGUGUGGUUUAAUUCGAUGCUACACGAAGAACCUUACCUGGGUUUGACAUACAGGUGGUACCGAACCGAAAGGGGAGGGACCCUUCGGGGAGCCUGUACAGGUGCUGCAUGGCUGUCGUCAGCUCGUGCCGUGAGGUGUCGGGUUAAGUCCCGUAACGAGCGCAACCCUUGCUCUUAGUUAUACGUGUCUAAGAGGACUGCCGGCGACAAGCCGGAGGAAGGUGGGGAUGACGUCAAGUCAGCAUGGCCUUUAUAUCCAGGGCUACACACACGCUACAAUGGUCAGUACAAUGGGCAGCCAACCCGCGAGGGGGAGCGAAUCCCAGCAAAGCUGAUCCCAGUUCGGAUUGCAGGCUGCAACCCGCCUGCAUGAAGUUGGAGUUGCUAGUAACCGCGCGUCAGCCAUAGUGCGGUGAAUACGUACCCGGGUCUUGUACACACCGCCCGUCACGUCAUGGGAGUUGGCAACGCCUGAAGCCGGUAGCCUGACCUAACGGAGGGCGCCGUCGAAGGCGGGGCUAGCAACUGGGACGAAGUCGUAACAAGGUAACC
This 1477-nucleotide ribosomal RNA is filed under the name uncultured organism. Its description in RNAcentral is "bacterial SSU rRNA". It matches the Rfam family "Bacterial small subunit ribosomal RNA". The record is from RNAcentral.